UGGGGAAUAUUGGACAAUGGGGGCAACCCUGAUCCAGCAAUGCCGCGUGUGUGAAGAAGGCCUGCGGGUUGUAAAGCACUUUCAGCAGGGAAGAAAAGCUCGGGGCUAAUACCUCCGGGUCUUGACGUUGCCUGAAGAAGAAGCACCGGCUAACUCCGUGCCAGCAGCCGCGGUAAUACGGAGGGUGCGAGCGUUAAUCGGAAUUACUGGGCGUAAAGCGCACGUAGGCGGUCAGAUAAGUCGGAUGUGAAAGCCCUGGGCUUAACCUGGGAACUGCAUUCGAUACUGUCUGGCUAGAGUAUGGGAGAGGGAAGCGGAAUUUCCGGUGUAGCGGUGAAAUGCGUAGAUAUCGGAAGGAACACCAAUGGCGAAGGCAGCUUCCUGGCCCAAUACUGACGCUCAGGUGCGAAAGCGUGGGGAUCAAACAGGAUUAGAUACCCUGGUAGUCCACGCUGUAAACGAUGAGAACUAGAUGUUGGGA
Molecule: ribosomal RNA, 481 nt
Filed under: uncultured Pseudomonadota bacterium
Lineage: Bacteria; Pseudomonadati; Pseudomonadota
Description: bacterial SSU rRNA
Rfam family: Bacterial small subunit ribosomal RNA
Source: RNAcentral